GACGAACGCUUGGCGGCGUGCUUAACUCAUGCAAGUCGAAUCGGAAAGGCCCCCACCUUGGUGGGGGUGCUCGAGUGGCGAACGGGUGAGUAACACGUGGGUGAUCUGCCCUGUACUUCGGGAUAAGCUUGGGAAACUGGGUCUAAUACCGGAUAGGACCAUGGUUUAGUGUCUCAUGGUGGAAAAAUUAUUGUUUUGGUGCAGGAUGAGCUCGCGGCCUAUCAGCUUGUUGGUGGGGUAAUGGCCUACCAAGGCGUCGACGGGUAGCCGGCCUGAGAGGGUGGACGGCCACAUUGGGACUGAGAUACGGCCCAGACUCCUACGGGAGGCAGCAGUGGGGAAUAUUGCACAAUGGGCGCAAGCCUGAUGCAGCGACGCCGCGUGGGGGAUGACGGCCUUCGGGUUGUAGGCUCCUUUCGUUAGGAACGAAGCCACACCUUUUU
This 443-nucleotide ribosomal RNA is filed under the name Corynebacterium matruchotii. RNAcentral's name for it is "bacterial SSU rRNA". It matches the Rfam family "Bacterial small subunit ribosomal RNA", at positions 28 to 462 of the family's 1533-position model. Lineage: Bacteria; Bacillati; Actinomycetota; Actinomycetes; Mycobacteriales; Corynebacteriaceae. The record is from RNAcentral.